Molecule: ribosomal RNA, 408 nt
Filed under: uncultured bacterium
Lineage: Bacteria
Description: partial 16S ribosomal RNA
Rfam family: Bacterial small subunit ribosomal RNA
Source: RNAcentral
GACGAACGCUGGCGGCGUGCUUAACACAUGCAAGUCGCACGAAGUGGCGAACGGGUGAGUAACGCGUAAUCAACCUGCCCUUCAGAGGGGGACAAAAGUUGGAAACGACUGCUAAUAACGCAUACUGAAGGAGGGGAUUCCGUCUGAGUAGCUAGGUGGAGGGGUAACGGCCCAACAAGGCGAUGAUAAGUAGCCGGUCUGAGAGGAGGAACGGCCACAGUGGGACUGAGACACGGCCCAGACUCCGACGGGAGGCAGCAGUGGGGAAUCUUCCGCAAUUGACGAAAGUCUGACGGAGCAACGCCGCGUGAGUGAUGACGGCCGUCGGGUUGUAAAGCUCUGUUAAUCGGGACGCGGUACCGGAAUAGAAAGCCACGGCUAACUACGUGCCAGCCGCCGCGGUAAUUC